AUCCAUCUGAUGAGUCCCAGAUAGAACGAAACGCGCAUCCUAGAU
Non-coding RNA from Schistosoma margrebowiei, 45 nucleotides. Lineage: Eukaryota; Metazoa; Platyhelminthes; Trematoda; Strigeidida; Schistosomatidae. The record is from Rfam.